AAGCAUUUAAUAUAUAGUAUAUAGUACAUGGAAUAUUGGACUUAGAAGACUUUGGGCAAAUCAUAAUUCUCUGAAUCUUAGUUUCCUCAUCUAUAAAAUGGGAUAUUGUACAAGAUGUCAUCCAGGAUGCCUUUAAGCUCUAAAUCUAUGAUCCUAUGAUCUUUUCAGUAUAAAGGUGGGGGACUAAGGAAGCAGAAUGAAGCAUAUACUGUCAGAUUUGAUGACAAAAUUUUACAACUCAGUGAUGAGGAAAACAAUGUUACUGACAGAGACAGAGAAAUUGGAAUGGGGAGCUGUUCUGAAAGGUAUCCCACAAAAGUACUAGAUUUGGAGUGAGAGAGGCAAGAAGCAUUUAUCCCCUCUUGGGAAAGGGAAGGAGAGAAACAAAGAAAAAAGAGACGAAUACAACCGAAGAUACGACACAUGUGGAGACAGGCAGCCUUAGAAAACAGAACUGAAUAUCCAUCUCUUUGCCAGUUACCUGAGGCUCCAGGAAGCUGAUGAUAAGGUAAGGGCCCAUUGCUUGGCUUCUUGUCCGUUCUACCAGCCCCUGGGGACCUGGCUGUCCCAGAUGCUGGGAGCUGGGAAGUGUGUCA
Molecule: long non-coding RNA, 596 nt
Filed under: Sarcophilus harrisii (Tasmanian devil)
Lineage: Eukaryota; Metazoa; Chordata; Mammalia; Dasyuromorphia; Dasyuridae
Description: lncRNA (ENSSHAG00000020936.1)
Source: RNAcentral